CUGGGCUUGACAUGCAGGGUGAAGCCGGUGAAAGCCGGCGCUCUACGGAGCCUGCACAGGUGGUGCAUGGCUGUCGUCAGCUCGUGCCGUGAGGUGUUGCCUUAAGUGGCGCAACGAGCGCAACCCUUGUCCUCAGUUGCCAGCGGGUGAAGCCGGGAACUCUGGGGAGACUGCCGGUGCCAAACCGGAGGAAGGUGGGGAUGACGUCAAGUCAUCAUGCCCCUUAUGUCCAGGGCUGCACGCAUGCUACAAUGCGCGGUACAAAGGGCUGCGAUCCCGCAAGGGGGAGCGAAUCCCAAAAAGCCGCGCUCAGUUCGGAUCGGGGUCUGCAACCCGACCCCGUGAAGUCGGAGUCGCUAGUAAUCGCAGAUCAGCAAUGCUGCGGUGAAUACGUUCCC
RNAcentral lists this ribosomal RNA (398 nucleotides) under uncultured bacterium. RNAcentral's name for it is "bacterial SSU rRNA". It matches the Rfam family "Bacterial small subunit ribosomal RNA", at positions 975 to 1375 of the family's 1533-position model. The record is from RNAcentral.